GCGUCUUGGAAGAGUGUUGCCAUCGUAUACGCUAAAAGCUGAUUGGCUCCGCCAUCUUUUGCUCAGAUUUCCGGAUUCAUUUGGAAGGGGUAAACAGAUGAUCAGUUGUUUAUUUUGGUUUUUAUUUUUCGUUUACUCUGGUUUAACCUCACUUAACUAGAUAGAUCGAGAAAUAUUAAAUUACUAUUACUAUUAUUCAGGUUGAAAAAUGCCUUCCUCUAAGGUAAAAGGUUGCGAAGUCGAUUGGGGGGAAAAAUAAUGUGAAAAUGAAUUCUUUCCCAAAAGAAUCUGAACGACGGAAAGUGUGGAUUAAAAAUAUAGGGUUAAAACAAGAUCCAAACAAAUAUGCUGUUGUUUGUGAAGAACACUACUUCUGACAUGUGGAAAAAAGUUAGACAAGAUGGCAGCAGAAAAUUAAAAUGCAAUGCUGUACCAACAAUAUUUAGAGAAGAAAGCGAAAGUAUUUAAUUAUUUAUAUUGGUUUUUUGUUUAUUCACCAAUUUAACACCUAUAGAUAUUUGUAUAACAAGAGAGUGAAGUGCACCUUUUCCUCCCAAGAAUAAAGUUUACUAGUUUACUACAGUAAUCAUUCAAGGGAGGAAAAGGCACUUCUCCCAUGUUAUACAUUUUUCCACCUCCCUCAAAUAAGUCAUUUUUUCAUUUUUUAAAUAUUUAUAUAACUGUUGAUUGAAUACAUGAAUCAUAAUUGAAUACAGGAAUUUGUGUAUUCAAUCAACAAUAGAAGUAACAAAAUUUAUUAGAGAACUAAAACUAACAAUUAAGUACAGUAUAACUAUCAAAUUAUUAAUGAGAAAUUUUUAAAUCAAAAUAACAAUUUACUGUUUUUACCAUUUUGCAACAUCUAUAAAUAAAAUUUAAAAUGUAUGGAUACUUACCUAAUAGAAAAUAGAGUAAUAGUAUAGGGUGUCAAUAAGUUAUUUCAUCUAUGCUAUGACAUAGUAUGAUGUCAACAUCACUUUUACUUUUACUCCCUAGGGAUUAAAAGUACUUUGUUUCCCUAGGGAGAAAAAAAUAUGACUGCUCCCUACAAUGAGGCCAGGAAAUGUAUACUUUGGAUAGAGGUAGGUGGGAAAAUCUGUUUUAUUCAGUUAUUGUGAUUUGUUUCUUACAGACAAUCGGUUUGUUCUAGCACGAGUUUCAAACGGUCUGAAACCAUUAGCGAAUAGUGGACCAGCGCGAGUAGAGGGAAUAGCACUCGUAACUGUAUUAUGUUCUCUCACUGACCAACUGUUUGCUGACUAGUUCGACUGUUUGCUAGAACAAACCUAUUAUUCAAACAAAAUGUCCUCUACGUCAGACUGAUCAGAAUUUUAAAAAUGUGUCAUAUCAAUCAAAUCAAAAAAUUUCAAAAAUUGUUCCUGUAACCAUUUUUAGUGGAAAUAAUAACAGUACUUAUAUUGGAUCAGAGAGCCACCCAAUUCAUUGUUAAAGUAUGAUAAACUAAAAGUUAAACAAUUAGGCAUGCACUUCAUAUUAUAUUUAAUGAAAUAUAACCCACUGGUACUCGUACAAACUUGACGGCAAGCAAAUUCAACAAAUUUUUCCUCAUUUAUUAGUUUUUCACUACCGUUAAGUUUGGAAACAAGCGCUGUUGCCAAAUAAAAACAUAUACAGUCGGAAAAAUGAAAGAAUACCCAUGAACGAUCACAUCAAUCACAUAUUUUGUAUUUGCUGUUUUUUUUUCAUAAAUAAUAAAUGAGAGAGAUAGAUUAUUAAUAAUCUGAAUAUGUGAUUGAUGUGAUCGUUCAUGGGUAUUCUUUCAUUUUUUCGACGGUAUGUAUUUACCACAGCAACUACAGGUGACACUGUUUCUCUUUGUCUUUAAGAGUGUGAAACAAAGAUAACUACAGUGGGAAAAAUAAAGAAUACCCAUGAACGAUCAGAUCGAUCACUUAUUUUGUUUCCUAUCUUUUUCUAUAACAAACGUUUAUUAUUUAUAGAAAAAGACAACAAACAUAAAUUAAGUGAUUGAUGUGAUCGUUCAUGGGUAUUCUUUCAUUUUUCCAACUGUAUCUGUAAUAUACGCUGUUAAUUAAAAAAUCGCGAGAGCCAGUAGUGACAAGUCUGUAAACCUUUACUGGAAAUUUGACAUAAAUGUCAAAGUGAAUAAUUUAAAAUUGAAAUUAAAAACAUUAAUCAGAAAAAAUAUUAGUUGGUCAAAGCUGUGGUAUAUAUUUUUAUCUUAAGUAUACUUACGGUUUAAAUACUGAAUUAAGUUUUUUUAAAAUUUUGUAAUAUCUAAUUAUAAUUAGAUAUAAAUCAUCUAAGUGCCAUCUACACGAUAAUUGUGAAUGUAUCUGAAGUAAGAAAUUAAUAUUUCAUUAAGAGAACGUUAAAACAGUUAGCAAAAUUUUUAAAAAAUCGAUUACAAUUUAAUUACUUUUUUGCGUUGUAAAUAUUAAGCGAUAAAAUUAAAUAAUAAAUUUAAAAAUUACUGGUGAAAGUUGAAUUAGUAAUCCGCUAGGAGCGACACCAGCGAAGCUCAGAGCGUAUAAGUGGGUGUGUUUGGACGACCAUAGCGGCUGACUGUCAGCAGAAAUCGGCUGAGUGGUUGUAUCCAGCUGUGAUAGGGAAAGCUUAGUAAAUCUCUCAGCGGCUGACUUCCAGCGGUGACGUCUGACAGCUACUGCUGGCUCAGCUGUCCAGCCGCUGUGGUCAUCCGAACGCACCCAGUGUCAGUCAUGUUUUCCUAUAGUAUAGAAGGCUUAGAUAGAAGGUUAUGUAAGAUUUUUGUUUGUUUAUUUUUUCUUCUUCUUUUGUGGCCUUUGGAAGCUGUGCGCAUUUAGCCAGCGACAUUUCUUAAAAUGAAUGCCUAACUAAACCUACCAUACAAGAAAACCUAAACGACCAAUCAAGGAUACGGAAGGGAAAGUAAAGUUAUUUAAAAAAUAAACUGUUGUUAAAAUAUAAACUAAAUAAAUAAAAUAUAAAUUGAAAACAAUAAUUUGACAUUAUAAAUGUAACCUCCAAUAUUAUGACAGACGUCAGUUACUAUGACAUCAUAUAUUAUACUCGUCACUAAUUCUAGCCAAUGAAAUGCUUGCUGUAAUAGGAAUGGCAUAUCAAAAAAAUCUGACUAUUCUCUAUAUAUUUUUUCAAAUUUAGAAUAUGGCAACAAGGGGAAAGUUAUGUGCAUUCCUCAUUGUUUGACUUUUCCUAUAUCUUUAGUAUCAGGUCAUCGUACAAUACAAAUACUUCCUGCAAUGAUUGGAAGUAAUGCAGAACAAGAAUUGAAUUUGGAAUCGCCGAGAAAAAGGAUUGGUGUACAAAAUAAGAAAGUAUAUAAAGGACAACAAACAUCUUCCAUAAGCGAUCAAAAUUGUAUAACUGAAAUUCAGGAAAUAGAUUCUGCUCCACCUUUAG
RNAcentral lists this long non-coding RNA (3384 nucleotides) under Diabrotica virgifera virgifera (western corn rootworm). RNAcentral's name for it is "uncharacterized LOC126879754". The record is from RNAcentral. Lineage: Eukaryota; Metazoa; Arthropoda; Insecta; Coleoptera; Chrysomelidae.